This is a long non-coding RNA of Diospyros lotus (date-plum), 12456 nucleotides long. RefSeq lists it as uncharacterized. The transcript has 9 exons. The record is from RefSeq and is a predicted model, not a curated record. NCBI's taxonomy places the organism in Eukaryota, Viridiplantae, Streptophyta, Magnoliopsida, Ericales, Ebenaceae.
UUCCACCAUUGAAAAUUGACAAAAAAAAAAAAAGAAAUUUCUUUUUUCGACCAAAGUCGGGAAAAAUGAAGAAAUUACGCUUACGUCCUAUUGUUCGAUUUGAUCGCUAGUACUUUUGUUUUAACAUUAAACAACCAAAAGGUUGUUCUAAUAACUAAAUUAAAGUCUAUUUUGAGUUCAAUUGACUUUUUGUGAACGAAUUACGACGAUUCGUCUUUUCGGCCUAAUUUUUAGCUGCACAAAAAACUGUUUUCGAUCAGAUUUUUUUCGAUGUCAUAAUAAUCGUAUCGAAAUUCUGGUUCGUUUCAUAUAAUUCUUUUUAGAUAUCUUGAUUUCGGAGCACUCCCUCCAAUCCAUUCGGUUACUCAUAAUUGUACCGAAAAUCAAGUUAAACCCCUAAUCUUUUGAAUAUUUCAAUUACACUUCCAAAUAAAACUACACUUAAAACCAUAUGAAAUUAUCUUCAUUCCACCAUUGAAAAUUGACAAAAAAAAAAAGAAAUUUCUUUUUUCGGCCAAAGUCGGGAAAAAUGAAGAAAUUACGCUUACGUCCUAUUGUUCGAUUUGAUCGCUAGUACUUUUGUUUCAACAUUAAAGAACCAAAAGAUUGUUCUAAUAACUAAAUUAAAGUGUAUUUUGUGUUCAAUUGACUUUUUGUGAACGAAUUACGACGAUUCGUGUUUUCGGCCUGAUUUUUAGCUGCACAAGAAACUGUUUCCGAUCAGAUCUUUUUCGAUGUCAUAAUAAUCGUAUCGAAAUUCUGGUUUGUUUCAUAUAAUUGUUUUUAGAUAUCUUGAUUUCGGAGCACUCCCUCCAAUCCAUUCGGUUACUCAUAAUUGUACCGAAAAUCAAGUUAAACCCCUAAUCUUUUGAAUAUUUCAAUUACACUUCCAAAUAAAACUACACUUAAAACCAUAUGAAAUUAUCUUCAUUCCACCAAUGAAAAAUGACAAAAAAAAAAAAGAAAUUUCUUUUUUCGACCAAAGUCGGGAAAAAUGAAGAAAUUACGCUUACGUCCUAUUGUUCGAUUUGAUCGCUAGUACUUUUGUUUCAACAUUAAAGAACCAAAAGGUUGUUCUAAUAACUAAAUUAAAGUGUAUUUUGUGUUCAAUUGACUUUUUGUGAACGAAUUACGACGAUUUGUGUUUUCGGCCUGAUUUUUACCAGCACAAAAAACUGUUUCCGAUCAGAUUUUUUUCGAUGUCAUAAUAAUCGUAUCGAAAUUCUGGUUCGUUUCAUAUAAUUGUUUUUAGAUAUCUUGAUUUCGGAGCACUCCCUCCAAUCCAUUCGGUUACUCAUAAUUGUACCGAAAAUCAAGUUAAACCCCUAAUCUUUUGAAUAUUUCAAUCACACUUCCAAACAAAACUACACUUAAAACCAUACGAAAUUAUCUUCAUUCCACCAUUGAAAAUUGACAAAAAAAAAAAGAAAUUCCUUUUUUCGACGAAUGUCGGGAAAAAUGAAGAAAUUACGCUUACGUCCUAUUGUUCGAUUUGAUCGCUAGUACUUUUGUUUCAACAUUAAACAAUCAAAAGGUUGUUCUAAUAACUAAAUUAAAGUGUAUUUUGUGUUCAAUUGACUUUUUGUGAACGAAUUACGACGAUUCGUGUUUUCGGCCUGAUUUUUAGCUGCACAAGAAACUGUUUCCGAUCAGAUCUUUUUCGAUGUCAUAAUAAUCGUAUCGAAAUUCUGGUUUAUUUCAUAUAAUUGUUUUUAGAUAUCUUGAUUUCGGAGCACUCCCUCCAAUCCAUUCGGUUACUCAUAAUUGUACCGAAAAUCAAGUUAAACCCCUAAUCUUUUGAAUAUUUCAAUUACACUUCCAAAUAAAACUACACUUAAAACCAUAUGAAAUUAUCUUCAUUCCACCAUUGAAAAUUGACAAAAAAAAAAAGAAAUUUCUUUUUUCGACCGAAGUCGGGAAAAAUGAAGAAAUUACGCUUACGUCCUAUUGUUCGAUUUGAUCGCUAGUACUUUUGUUUCAACAUUAAACAACCAAAAGGUUGUUCUAAUAACUAAAUUAAAGUGUAUUUUAAGUUCAAUUGACUUUUUGUGAACGAAUUACAACGAUUCGUCUUUUCGGCCUGAUUUUUAGCUGCACAAAAAACUGUUUCCGAUCAGAUUUUUUUCGAUGUCAUAAUAAUCGUAUCGAAAUUCUGGUUCGUUUCAUAUAAUUGUUUUUAGAUAUCUUGAUUUCGGAGCACUCCCUCCAAUCCAUUCGGUUACUCAUAAUUGUACCGAAAAUCAAGUUAAACCCCUAAUCUUUUGAAUAUUUCAAUUACACUUCCAAAUAAAACUACACUUAAAAGCAUAUGAAAUUAUCUUCAUUCCACCAUUGAAAAUUAACAAAAAAAAAAAAAAAAGAAAUUUCUUUUUUCGACCAAAGUCGGGAAAAAUGAAGAAAUUAAGCUUACGUCCUAUUGUUCGAUUUGAUCGCUAGUACUUUUGUUUCAACGUUAAACAAUCAAAAGGUUGUUCUAAUAACUAAAUUAAAGUGUAUUUUAAGUUCAAUUGACUUUUUGUGAACGAAUUACAACGAUUCGUCUUUUCGGCCUGAUUUUUAUCUGCACAAAAAACUGUUUCCGAUCAGAUUUUUUUCGAUGUCAUAAUAAUCGUAUCGAAAUUCUGGUUCGUUUCAUAUAAUUGUUUUUAGAUAUCUUGAUCUCGGAGCACUCCCUCCAAUCCAUUCGGUUACUCAUUAUUGUACCGAAAAUCAAGUUAAACCCCUAAUCUUUAGAAUAUUUCAAUUACACUUCCAAAUAAAAGUACACUUAAAAGCAUAUGAAAUUAUCUUCAUUCCACCAUUGAAAAUUGACAAAAAAAAAAAAAAGAAAUUUCUUUUUUCGACCAAAGUCGGGAAAAAUGAAGAAAAUACGCUUACGUCGUAUUGUUCGAUUUGAUCGCUUGUACUUUUGUUUCAACAUUAAAGAACCAAAAGGUUGUUCUAAUAACUAAAUUAAAGUGUAUUUUGAGUUCAAUUGACUUUUUGUGAACGACUUACGACGAUUCGUGUUUUCGGCCUGAUUUUUAGCUGCACAAAAAACUGUUUCCGAUCAGAUUUUUUUCGAUGUCAUAAUAAUCGUAUCGAAAUUCUGGUUCGUUUCAUAUAAUUGUUUUUAGAUAUCUUGAUUUCGGAGCACUCCCUCCAAUCCAUUCGGUUACUCAUAAUUGUACCGAAAAUCAAGUUAAACCCCUAAUCUUUUGAAUAUUUCAAUUACACUUCCAAAUAAAACUACACUUAAAAGCAUAUGAAAUUAUCUUCAUUCCACCAUUGAAAAUUAACAAAAAAAAAAAAAAAAGAAAUUUCUUUUUUCGACCAAAGUCGGGAAAAAUGAAGAAAAUACGCUUACGUCCUAUUGUUCGAUUUGAUCGCUUGUACUUUUGUUUCAACAUUAAAGAACCAAAAGGUUGUUCUAAUAACUAAAUUAAAGUGUAUUUUGAGUUCAAUUGACUUUUUGUGAACGAAUUACGACGAUUCGUGUUUUCGGCCUGAUUUUUAGCAGCACAAAAAACUGUUUCCGAUCAGAUUUUUUUCGAUGUCAUAAUAAUCGUAUCGAAAUUCUGGUUCGUUUCAUAUAAUUGUUUUUAGAUAUCUUGAUUUCGGAGCACUCCCUCCAAUCCAUUCGGUUACUCAUAAUUGUACCGAAAAUCAAGUUAAACCCCUAAUCUUUUGAAUAUUUCAAUUACACUUCCAAACAAAACUACACUUAAAACCAUAUGAAAUUAUCUUCAUUCCACCAUUGGAAAUUGACCAAAAAAAAAAGAAAUUUCUUUUUUCGACGAAUGUCGGGAAAAAUGAAGAAAUUACGCUUACGUCCUAUUGUUCGAUUUGAUCGCUAGUACUUUUGUUUCAACAUUAAACAAUCAAAAGGUUGUUCUAAUAACUAAAUUAAAGUGUAUUUUGAGUUCAAUUGACUUUUUGUGAACGAAUUACGACGAUUCGUCUUUUCGUCCUGAUUUUUAGCUGCACAAAAAACUGUUUCCGUUCAGAUUUUUUUCGAUGUCAUAAUAAUCGUAUCGAAAUUCUGGUUCGUUUCAUAUAAUUGUUUUUAGAUAUCUUGAUUUCGGAGCACUCCCUCCAAUCCAUUCGGUUACUCAUAAUUGUACCGAAAAUCAAGUUAAACCCCUAAUCUUUUGAAUAUUUCAAUUACACUUCCAAAUAAAACUACACUUAAAACCAUAUGAAAUUAUCUUCAUUCCACCAUUGAAAAUUGACCAAAAAAAAAGAAAUUUCUUUUUUCGACCAAAGUCGGGAAAAAUGAAGAAAUUACGCUUACGUCCUAUUGUUCGAUUUGAUCGCUAGUACUUUUGUUUCAACAUUAAAGAACCAAAAGGUUGUUCUAAUAACUAAAUUAAAGUGUAUUUUGUGUUCAAUUGACUUUUUGUGAACGAAUUACGACGAUUCGACUUUUCUGCCUGAUUUUUAGCUGCACAAAAAACUGUUUCGGAUCAGAUUUUUUUCGAUGUCAUAAUAAUCGUAUCGAAAUUCUGGUUCUUUUCAUAUAAUUGUUUUUAGAUAUCUUGAUUUCGGAGCACUCCCUCCAAUCCAUUCGGUUACUCAUAAUUGUACCGAAAAUCAAGUUAAUCCCCUAAUCUUUUGAAUAUUUCAAUUACACUUCCAAACAAAACUACACUUAAAAACCAUAUGAAAUUAUCUUCAUUCCACCAUUGAAAAUUGACCAAAAAAAAAAGAAAUUUCUUUUUUCGACCAAAGUCGGGAAAAAUGAAGAAAUUACGCUUACGUCCUAUUGUUCGAUUUGAUCGCUAGUACUUUUGUUUCAACAUUAAAGAACCAAAAGGUUGUUCUAAUAACUAAAUUAAAGUGUAUUUUGAGUUCAAUUGACUUUUUGUGAACGAAUUACGACGAUUCGUCUUUUCGUCCUGAUUUUUAGCUGCACAAAAAACUGUUUCCGUUCAGAUUUUUUUCGAUGUCAUAAUAAUCGUAUCGAAAUUCUGGUUCGUUUCAUAUAAUUGUUUUUAGAUAUCUUGAUUUCGGAGCACUCCCUCCAAUCCAUUCGGUUACUCAUAAUUGUACCGAAAAUCAAGUUAAACCCCUAAUCUUUUGAAUAUUUCAAUUACACUUCCAAAUAAAACUACACUUAAAACCAUAUGAAAUUAUCUUCAUUCCACCAUUGAAAAUUGACCAAAAAAAAAGAAAUUUCUUUUUUCGACCAAAGUCGGGAAAAAUGAAGAAAUUACGCUUACGUCCUAUUGUUCGAUUUGAUCGCUAGUACUUUUGUUUCAACAUUAAAGAACCAAAAGGUUGUUCUAAUAACUAAAUUAAAGUGUAUUUUGUGUUCAAUUGACUUUUUGUGAACGAAUUACGACGAUUCGACUUUUCUGCCUGAUUUUUAGCUGCACAAAAAACUGUUUCGGAUCAGAUUUUUUUCGAUGUCAUAAUAAUCGUAUCGAAAUUCUGGUUCGUUUCAUAUAAUUGUUUUUAGAUAUCUUGAUUUCGGAGCACUCCCUCCAAUCCAUUCGGUUACUCAUAAUUGUACCGAAAAUCAAGUUAAUCCCCUAAUCUUUUGAAUAUUUCAAUUACACUUCCAAACAAAACUACACUUAAAACCAUACGAAAUUAUCUUCAUUCCACCAUUGAAAAUUGACAAAAAAAAAAAGAAAUUUCUUUUUUCGACGAAUGUCGGGAAAAAUGAAGAAAUUACGCUUACGUCCUAUUGUUCGAUUUGAUCGCUAGUACUUUUGUUUCAACGUUAAACAAUCAAAAGGUUGUUCUAAUAACUAAAUUAAAGUGUAAUUUAAGUUCAAUUGACUUUUUGUGAACGAAUUACGACGAUUCGUCUUUUCGGCCUGAUUUUUAGCCGCACAAAAAACUGUUUCCGAUCAGAUUUUUUUCGAUGUCAUAAUAAUCGUAUCGAAAUUCUGGUUCGUUUCAAACAAUUGUUUUUAGAUAUCUUGAUUUCGGAGCACUCCCUCCAAUCCAUUCGGUUACUCAUUAUUGUACCGAAAAUCAAGUUAAACCCCUAAUCUUUAGAAUAUUUCAAUUACACUUCCAAAUAAAAGUACACUUAAAACCAUAUGAAAUUAUCUUCAUUCCACCUUUGAAAAUUGACAAAAAAAAAAAAAGAAAUUUCUUUUUUCGACCAAAGUCGGGAAAAAUGAAGAAAAUACGCUUACGUCGUAUUGUUCGAUUUGAUCGCUUGUACUUUUGUUUCAACAUUAAAAAACCAAAGGGUUGUUCUAAUAACUAAAUUAAAGUGUAUUUUGAGUUCAAUUGACUUUUUGUGAACGACUUACGACGAUUCGUGUUUUCGGCCUGAUUUUUAGCUGCACAAAAAACUGUUUCCGAUCAGAUUUUUUUCGAUGUCAUAAUAAUCGUAUCGAAAUUUUGGUUCGUUUCAUAUAAUUGUUUUUAGAUAUCUUGAUUUCAGAGCACUCCCUCCAAUCCAUUCGGUUACUCAUAAUUGUACCGAAAAUCAAGUUAAACCCCUAAUCUUUUGAAUAUUUCAAUUACACUUCCAAAUAAAACUACACUUAAAAGCAUAUGAAAUUAUCUUCAUUCCACCAUUGAAAAUUGACAAAAAAAAAAAAAAAAGAAAUUUCUUUUUUCGACCAAAGUCGGGAAAAAUGAAGAAAAUACGCUUACGUCCUAUUGUUCGAUUUGAUCGCUUGUACUUUUGUUUCAACAUUAAAGAACCAAAAGGUUGUUCUAAUAACUAAAUUAAAGUGUAUUUUGUGUUCAAUUGACUUUUUGUGAACGAAUUACGACGAUUCGACUUUUCUGCCUGAUUUUUAGCUGCACAAAAAACUGUUUCCGAUCAGAUUUUUUUCGAUGUCAUAAUAAUCGUAUCGAAAUUCUGGUUCGUUUCAUAUAAUUGUUUUUAGAUAUCUUGAUUUCGGAGCACUCCCUCCAAUCCAUUCGGUUACUCAUAAUUGUACCGAAAAUCAAGUUAAUCCCCUAAUCUUUUGAAUAUUUCAAUUACACUUUCAAACAAAACUACACUUAAAACCAUAUGAAAUUAUCUUCAUUCCACCAUUGAAAAUUGACCAAAAAAAAAAGAAAUUUCUUUUUUCGACCAAAGUCGGGAAAAAUGAAGAAAUUACGCUUACGUCCUAUUGUUCGAUUUGAUCGCUAGUACUUUUGUUUCAACGUUAAACAAUCAAAAGGUUGUUCUAAUAACUAAAUUAAAGUGUAUUUUAAGUUCAAUUGACUUUUUGUGAACGAAUUACAACGAUUCGUCUUUUCGGCCUGAUUUUUAUCUGCACAAAAACUGUUUCCGAUCAGAUUUUUUUCGAUGUCAUAAUAAUCGUAUCGAAAUUCUGGUUCGUUUCAUAUAAUUGUUUUUAGAUAUCUUGAUCUCGGAGCACUCCCUCCAAUCCAUUCGGUUACUCAUUAUUGUACCGAAAAUCAAGUUAAACCCCUAAUCUUUAGAAUAUUUCAAUUACACUUCCAAAUAAAAGUACACUUAAAAGCAUAUGAAAUUAUCUUCAUUCCACCAUUGAAAAUUGACAAAAAAAAAAAAAAGAAAUUUCUUUUUUCGACCAAAGUCGGGAAAAAUGAAGAAAAUACGCUUACGUCGUAUUGUUCGAUUUGAUCGCUUGUACUUUUGUUUCAACAUUAAAGAACCAAAAGGUUGUUCUAAUAAAUAAAUUAAAGUGUAUUUUGAGUUCAAUUGACUUUUUGUGAACGAAUUACGACGAUUCGUGUUUUCGGCCUGAUUUUUAGCUGCACAAAAAACUGUUUCCGAUCAGAUUUUUUUCGAUGUCAUAAUAAUCGUAUCGAAAUUCUGGUUCGUUUCAUAUAAUUGUUUUUAGAUAUCUUGAUUUCGGAGCACUCCCUCCAAUCCAUUCGGUUACUCAUAAUUGUACCGAAAAUCAAGUUAAACCCCUAAUCUUUUGAAUAUUUCAAUUACACUUCCAAAUAAAACUACACUUAAAACCAUAUGAAAUUAUCUUCAUUCCACCAUUGAAAAUUGACCAAAAAAAAAGAAAUUUCUUUUUUCGACCAAAGUCGGGAAAAAUGAAGAAAUUACGCUUACGUCCUAUUGUUCGAUUUGAUCGCUAGUACUUUUGUUUCAACAUUAAAGAACCAAAAGGUUGUUCUAAUAACUAAAUUAAAGUGUAUUUUGAGUUCAAUUGACUUUUUGUGAACGAAUUACGACGAUUCGUGUUUUCGGCCUGAUUUUUAGCUGCACAAAAAACUGUUUCCGAUCAGAUUUUUUUCGAUGUCAUAAUAAUCGUAUCGAAAUUCUGGUUCGUUUCAUAUAAUUGUUUUUAGAUAUCUUGAUUUCGGAGCACUCCCUCCAAUCCAUUCGGUUACUCAUAAUUGUACCGAAAAUCAAGUUAAACCCCUAAUCUUUUGAAUAUUUCAAUUACACUUCCAAAUAAAACUACACUUAAAACCAUAUGAAAUUAUCUUCAUUCCACCAUUGAAAAUUGACAAAAAAAAAAAGAAAUUUCUUUUUUCGACCAAAGUCGGGAAAAAUGAAGAAAUUACGCUUACGUCCUAUUGUUCGAUUUGAUCGCUAGUACUUUUGUUUCAACAUUAAACAAUCAAAAGGUUGUUCUAAUAACUAAAUUAAAGUGUAUUUUGAGUUCAAUUGACUUUUUGUGAACGAAUUACGACGAUUCGUCUUUUCGGCCUGAUUUUUAGCUGCACAAAAAACUGUUUCCGAUCAGAUUUUUUUCGAUGUCAUAAUAAUCGUAUCGAAAUUCUGGUUCGUUUCAUAUAAUUGUUUUUAGAUAUCUUGAUUUCGGAGCACUCCCUCCAAUCCAUUCGGUUACUCAUAAUUGUACCGAAAAUCAAGUUAAACCCCUAAUCUUUUGAAUAUUUCAAUUACACUUCCAAAUAAAACUACACUUAAAACCAUAUGAAAUUAUCUUCAUUCCACCAUUGAAAAUUGACAAAAAAAAAAAGAAAUUUCUUUUUUCGACCAAAGUCGGGAAAAAUGAAGAAAUUACGCUUACGUCCUAUUGUUCGAUUUGAUCGCUAGUACUUUUGUUUCAACAUUAAACAACCAAAAGGUUGUUCUAAUAACUAAAUUAAAGUGUAUUUUGAGUUCAAUUGACUUUUUGUGAACGAAUUACGACGAUUCGUCUUUUCGUCCUGAUUUUUAGCUGCACAAAAAACUGUUUCCGAUCAGAUUUUUUUCGAUGUCAUAAUAAUCGUAUCGAAAUUCUGGUUCGUUUCAUAUAAUUGUUUUUAGAUAUCUUGAUUUCGGAGCACUCCCUCCAAUCCAUUCGGUUACUCAUAAUUGUACCGAAAAUCAAGUUAAACCCCUAAUCUUUUGAAUAUUUCAAUUACACUUCCAAAUAAAACUACACUUAAAACCAUAUGAAAUUAUCUUCAUUCCACCAUUGAAAAUUGACAAAAAAAAAAAGAAAUUUCUUUUUUCGACCAAAGUCGGGAAAAAUGAAGAAAUUACGCUUACGUCCUAUUGUUCGAUUUGAUCGCUAGUACUUUUGUUUCAACAUUAAACAACCAAAAGGUUGUUCUAAUAACUAAAUUAAAGUGUAUUUUGAGUUCAAUUGACUUUUUGUGAACGAAUUACGACGAUUCGUCUUUUCGGCCUGAUUUUUAGCUGCACAAAAAACUGUUUCCGAUCAGAUUUUUUUCGAUGUCAUAAUAAUCGUAUCGAAAUUCUGGUUCGUUUCAUAUAAUUGUUUUUAGAUAUCUUGAUUUCGGAGCACUCCCUCCAAUCCAUUCGGUUACUCAUAAUUGUACCGAAAAUCAAGUUAAACCCCUAAUCUUUUGAAUAUUUCAAUUACACUUCCAAAUAAAACUACACUUAAAACCAUAUGAAAUUAUCUUCAUUCCACCAUUGAAAAUUGACAAAAAAAAAAAGAAAUUUCUUUUUUCGACCAAAGUCGGGAAAAAUGAAGAAAUUACGCUUACGUCCUAUUGUUCGAUUUGAUCGCUAGUACUUUUGUUUCAACAUUAAACAACCAAAAGGUUGUUCUAAUAACUAAAUUAAAGUGUAUUUUGAGUUCAAUUGACUUUUUGUGAACGAAUUACGACGAUUCGUGUUUUCGGCCUGAUUUUUAGCUGCACAAAAAACUGUUUCCGAUCAGAUUUUUUUCGAUGUCAUAAUAAUCGUAUCGAAAUUCUGGUUCGUUUCAUAUAAUUGUUUUUAGAUAUCUUGAUUUCGGAGCACUCCCUCCAAUCCAUUCGGUUACUCAUAAUUGUACCGAAAAUCAAGUUAAACCCCUAAUCUUUUGAAUAUUUCAAUUACACUUCCAAAUAAAACUACACUUAAAAGCAUAUGAAAUUAUCUUCAUUCCACCAUUGAAAAUUGACAAAAAAAAAAAGAAAUUUCUUUUUUCGACCAAAGUCGGGAAAAAUGAAGAAAUUACGCUUACGUCCUAUUGUUCGAUUUGAUCGCUAGUACUUUUGUUUCAACAUUAAACAAUCAAAAGGUUGUUCUAAUAACUAAAUUAAAGUGUAUUUUGAGUUCAAUUGACUUUUUGUGAACGAAUUACGACGAUUCGUCUUUUCGGCCUGAUUUUUAGCUGCACAAAAAACUGUUUCCGAUCAGAUUUUUUUCGAUGUCAUAAUAAUCGUAUCGAAAUUCUGGUUCGUUUCAUAUAAUUGUUUUUAGAUAUCUUGAUUUCGGAGCACUCCCUCCAAUCCAUUCGGUUACUCAUAAUUGUACCGAAAAUCAAGUUAAACCCCUAAUCUUUUGAAUAUUUCAAUUACACUUCCAAAUAAAACUACACUUAAAACCAUAUGAAAUUAUCUUCAUUCCACCAUUGAAAAUUGACAAAAAAAAAAAGAAAUUUCUUUUUUCGACCAAAGUCGGGAAAAAUGAAGAAAUUACGCUUACGUCCUAUUGUUCGAUUUGAUCGCUAGUACUUUUGUUUCAACAUUAAACAAUCAAAAGGUUGUUCUAAUAACUAAAUUAAAGUGUAUUUUGAGUUCAAUUGACUUUUUGUGAACGAAUUACGACGAUUCGUCUUUUCGGCCUGAUUUUUAGCUGCACAAAAAACUGUUUCCGAUCAGAUUUUUUUCGAUGUCAUAAUAAUCGUAUCGAAAUUCUGGUUCGUUUCAUAUAAUUGUUUUUAGAUAUCUUGAUUUCGGAGCACUCCCUCCAAUCCAUUCGGUUACUCAUAAUUGUACCGAAAAUCAAGUUAAACCCCUAAUCUUUUGAAUAUUUCAAUUACACUUCCAAAUAAAACUACACUUAAAACCAUAUGAAAUUAUCUUCAUUCCACCAUUGAAAAUUGACAAAAAAAAAAAGAAAUUUCUUUUUUCGACCAAAGUCGGGAAAAAUGAAGAAAUUACGCUUACGUCCUAUUGUUCGAUUUGAUCGCUAGUACUUUUGUUUCAACAUUAAACAACCAAAAGGUUGUUCUAAUAACUAAAUUAAAGUGUAUUUUGAGUUCAAUUGACUUUUUGUGAACGAAUUACGACGAUUCGUGUUUUCGGCCUGAUUUUUAGCUGCACAAAAAACUGUUUCCGAUCAGAUUUUUUUCGAUGUCAUAAUAAUCGUAUCGAAAUUCUGGUUCGUUUCAUAUAAUUGUUUUUAGAUAUCUUGAUUUCGGAGCACUCCCUCCAAUCCAUUCGGUUACUCAUAAUUGUACCGAAAAUCAAGUUAAACCCCUAAUCUUUUGAAUAUUUCAAUUACACUUCCAAAUAAAACUACACUUAAAAGCAUAUGAAAUUAUCUUCAUUCCACCAUUGAAAAUUGACAAAAAAAAAAAGAAAUUUCUUUUUUCGACCAAAGUCGGGAAAAAUGAAGAAAUUACGCUUACGUCCUAUUGUUCGAUUUGAUCGCUAGUACUUUUGUUUCAACAUUAAACAAUCAAAAGGUUGUUCUAAUAACUAAAUUAAAGUGUAUUUUGAGUUCAAUUGACUUUUUGUGAACGAAUUACGACGAUUCGUCUUUUCGGCCUGAUUUUUAGCUGCACAAAAAACUGUUUCCGAUCAGAUUUUUUUCGAUGUCAUAAUAAUCGUAUCGAAAUUCUGGUUCGUUUCAUAUAAUUGUUUUUAGAUAUCUUGAUUUCGGAGCACUCCCUCCAAUCCAUUCGGUUACUCAUAAUUGUACCGAAAAUCAAGUUAAACCCCUAAUCUUUUGAAUAUUUCAAUUACACUUCCAAAUAAAACUACACUUAAAAGCAUAUGAAAUUAUCUUCAUUCCACCAUUGAAAAUUGACAAAAAAAAAAAGAAAUUUCUUUUUUCGACCAAAGUCGGGAAAAAUGAAGAAAUUACGCUUACGUCCUAUUGUUCGAUUUGAUCGCUAGUACUUUUGUUUCAACAUUAAACAAUCAAAAGGUUGUUCUAAUAACUAAAUUAAAGUGUAUUUUGAGUUCAAUUGACUUUUUGUGAACGAAUUACGACGAUUCGUCUUUUCGGCCUGAUUUUUAGCUGCACAAAAAACUGUUUCUGAUCAGAUUUUUUUCGAUGUCAUAAUAAUCGUAUCGAAAUUCUGGUUCGUUUCAUAUAAUUGUUUUUAGAUAUCUUGAUUUCGGAGCACUCCCUCCAAUCCAUUCGGUUACCCAUUG